Molecule: ribosomal RNA, 274 nt
Filed under: uncultured bacterium
Lineage: Bacteria
Description: partial 16S ribosomal RNA
Rfam family: Bacterial small subunit ribosomal RNA
Source: RNAcentral
AUACGGAGGGUGCGAGCGUUAAUCGGAAUUACUGGGCGUAAAGGGCGCGUAGGUGGUUUGGUAAGUCAGAUGUGAAAUCCCUGGGCUUAACCUGGGAACUGCAUUCGAAACUGUCAAGCUAGAGUAUGGUAGAGGUGAGGGGAAUUCCUGGUGUAGCGGUGAAAUGCGUAGAUAUCAGGAGGAACAUCAGUGGCGAAGGCGCCUCACUGGACCAAUACUGACGCUGAGGAGCGAAAGCGUGGGGAGCAAACGGGAUUAGAAACCCCAGUAGUCC